UCAAAACUAGUCAAGACAAACAAAUUGGAAAUGGUCAAAUGAUCAUAUUACCUUUGAACUAAGUUAAUGGAAAAAUGCAACAUUUUGUUGGAUAAUCCCACAAACACUUACUAGGAUAGAUGGUUACAUGAUAUGUAAACAACUAGCCCACUAAGUUCCACUAAUGGUUAGUGGAAUGCUAGGUGUUGAGGUUUCGCCAACUAAUUAUAUGCAAUUUUGUAUGUAAUUAGGUUAUAACUAUGGUUCAUUUCAAAUUUACAAAGACAUUUGGCCAAAAUUUGUAUUUUUGUUUUUACAAAAAAUUGACCAAAUUAUUUCUCUACCGAGAUCCCCAACUAUCGCCUUCCAAUUUUCAUCUUGCUCUCCCCAUUUUCAUUCACUUAACAGGUUCACAAUUUAGUUCUAAGUCUGGAGAAUAGUGGAUAAACUCUAGUGGUGAUCUUGGGUUUGUGUUCGUUAGGAGAUAUCGACUAAUCGGGAAGCUACGAAGGUAUAACUUUUAUUAACCCUAAUUUCAUUUAAUUAUGGUAGUUGAUAUGCAUGUUAAUCGCUAAAUUAGUUUAGAUGCAAUUAAAGUAGAAUUUAUUUGUAUUUCGCCGUACAUCUACUGUUUUCCAUCAGUUUUGAGAUUGGUUGUCUCUAUAGCAUGUUUGAAACUUUUGGCUUUUGUUCGUCCCCAUCAUUUUUUUUCCUUUUAAUUUUUCUUAAUUUUUCUUUUGUUUCUAUUUCUUCUUCUACAGUUUCUUCACUACUAUCACUGUCGAUCUCUUCUUCAAUUUCAAUAUCAUCAACAUCAACAACUUGAUUCACCUUUUGUCUUCCUUUUGUCAUGAACAAAAUUCCUUCUUAUAAGUAUUUGUAUCUUCUUCAUUUUUCUCACAUUCGACUUUCUCAUACUCUUUUUCUAUUUUCUUUUCUUCAACGACUUGCUGCAAGAAAUUGUUGAAGUUAAUAACAAGAACAAUGAAUGGUAGGCAAUGAUAGUUAUUUAUUCUUUUUAGGUACACAGAGACAGUGAAAUAUCACAAUAUUUACCAAUUGCUCAUUACUUUGUUUUGUUUUGUUUUUCCUCCUCUUAUUUUCUUCUUUUUCACUUUCGUCUCAUGUUUCAUUAUUUUUUCUUAAUCUUCAGCUUCUUCUUCUUUUUCU
RNAcentral lists this long non-coding RNA (1149 nucleotides) under Cucumis sativus (cucumber). Its description in RNAcentral is "long non-coding RNA (CSAT_LNC002423)". The record is from RNAcentral. Lineage: Eukaryota; Viridiplantae; Streptophyta; Magnoliopsida; Cucurbitales; Cucurbitaceae.